Molecule: transfer RNA, 76 nt
Filed under: Candidatus Liptonbacteria bacterium RIFCSPLOWO2_01_FULL_45_15
Lineage: Bacteria; Candidatus Liptoniibacteriota
Description: tRNA-Ala
Rfam family: tRNA
About the family: Transfer RNA (tRNA) molecules are approximately 80 nucleotides in length. Their secondary structure includes four short double-helical elements and three loops (D, anti-codon, and T loops). Further hydrogen bonds mediate the characteristic L-shaped molecular structure. tRNAs have two regions of fundamental functional importance: the anti-codon, which is responsible for specific mRNA codon recognition, and the 3' end, to which the tRNAs corresponding amino acid is attached (by aminoacyl-tRNA synthetases). tRNAs cope with the degeneracy of the genetic code in two manners: having more than one tRNA (with a specific anti-codon) for a particular amino acid; and 'wobble' base-pairing, i.e. permitting non-standard base-pairing at the 3rd anti-codon position.
Source: RNAcentral
GGGCCGUUAGCUCAAUUGGUAGAGCGCUACUAUGGCAUAGUAGAGGCAACCGGUUCGAAUCCGGUACGGUCCACCA